This is a non-coding RNA of Heteronotia binoei (common prickly gecko), 74 nucleotides long. Lineage: Eukaryota; Metazoa; Chordata; Lepidosauria; Squamata; Gekkonidae. The record is from the annotation of a RefSeq genome assembly.
GGAAAGUGUUGGCUCAGUGGUAGAGCAUCUGCUUAGCAUGCAAAAGGUCCUGGGUUCAAUCCCUGGCAUUUCCA